This 506-nucleotide ribosomal RNA is filed under the name uncultured bacterium. RNAcentral's name for it is "partial 16S ribosomal RNA". It matches the Rfam family "Bacterial small subunit ribosomal RNA", at positions 28 to 523 of the family's 1533-position model. The record is from RNAcentral.
GAUGAACGCUAGCGGCAGGCCUAACACAUGCGAGUCGAGGGGCAGCACAGGAAAGUAGUAAUACUUUUGGGUGGCGACCGGCGGACGGGUGCGUAACGCGUAUACAACCUGCCUUCUACUGGGGGAUAAUUCGGAGAAAUCUGGUCUAAUACCCCAUAACAACCGAUGAGGCAUCUCAUUGGUUUAAAAGCUCCGGCGGUAGAAGAUGGGUAUGCGUGACAUUAGAUAGUUGGUGGGGUAACGGCUCACCAAGUCGACGAUGUCUAGGGGGACUGAGAGGUUAACCCCCCACACUGGAACUGAGACACGGACCAGACUCCUACGGGAGGCAGCAGUGAGGAAUAUUGGUCAAUGGACGCAAGUCUGAACCAGCCAUGCCGCGUGCAGGAAGACGGCUCUAUGAGUUGUAAACUGCUUUUGUACGAGGGUAAACCCAGGGACGUGUCCUCGGUUGAAAGUACCGUACGAAUAAGGAUCGGCUAACUCCGUGCCAGCCGCCGCCGUAA